UUGUGAACCUGGAAGGCAGUGUG
RNAcentral lists this unclassified non-coding RNA (23 nucleotides) under Mus musculus (house mouse). RNAcentral describes it as "oocyte_clustered_small_RNA8". Lineage: Eukaryota; Metazoa; Chordata; Mammalia; Rodentia; Muridae. The record is from RNAcentral.